Molecule: long non-coding RNA, 269 nt
Filed under: Physcomitrium patens
Lineage: Eukaryota; Viridiplantae; Streptophyta; Bryopsida; Funariales; Funariaceae
Description: long non-coding RNA (PPAT_LNC006325)
Source: RNAcentral
GCUUUCCUUCUCGAGAAUGCGCCGGGCAUCUAGCUGUAGAAGGUAGUAUGGAGAUUCACUAAUAUUCAAGUAGUUUAUCGAUUUUUGACUGUUGGAAUAUAAAUGAUUGCAAGAAUAUAUCGUAAAUCUAUACGAAUGUCCUUGGACUGCUCACCAAAAUCCUUUUUGCCUCAGCCGGUAGGUCUCUAGACGUUACAAAGAAUCCCGAACAACCCAAUCUGCUAAUCUUCGAUACCGCUUUAUACUCACGAUCUUGUAUCCACUGACUG